UGAGGAAUUUUGCGCAAUGGGGGAAACCCUGACGCAGCAACGCCGCGUGAGUGGUGAAGGCCUUCGGGUCGUAAAGCUCUGUCAAGUGGGAAGAACCUGCCCGAUGUUAAUACCAUUGGGCAUUGACGGUACCACUGAAGGAAGCACCGGCUAACUCCGUGCCAGCAGCCGCGGUAAUACGGGGGGUGCUAGCGUUAUUCUGAAUCAUUGGGCGUAAAGGGCGCGUAGGCGGUCUUUUAAGUCAGGUGUGAAAGCCCUCGGCUUAACCGAGGAAGUGCAUUUGAUACUAAAAGACUUGAGUAUGGGAGAGGGAAGCGGAAUUCCUGGUGUAGCGGUGAAAUGCGUAGAUAUCAGGAGGAACACCGGUGGCGAAGGCGGCUUCCUGGACCAAUACUGACGCUGAGGCGCGAAGGCGUGGGGAGCAAACAGGAUUAGAUACCCUGGUAGUCCACGCAGUAAACUGUGAACACUAGGUGUAGCGGGUAUUGACCCCUGCUGUGCCGAAG
Molecule: ribosomal RNA, 506 nt
Filed under: uncultured Pseudomonadota bacterium
Lineage: Bacteria; Pseudomonadati; Pseudomonadota
Description: bacterial SSU rRNA
Rfam family: Bacterial small subunit ribosomal RNA
Source: RNAcentral